RNAcentral lists this small nucleolar RNA (58 nucleotides) under Erinaceus europaeus (western European hedgehog). RNAcentral describes it as "Small nucleolar RNA SNORD56". It matches the Rfam family "Small nucleolar RNA SNORD56", at positions 8 to 65 of the family's 71-position model. From Rfam's summary of the family: U56 belongs to the C/D class of snoRNA which contain the C (UGAUGA) and D (CUGA) box motifs. Most of the members of the box C/D family function in directing site-specific 2'-O-methylation of substrate RNAs. The record is from Rfam by way of RNAcentral. Lineage: Eukaryota; Metazoa; Chordata; Mammalia; Eulipotyphla; Erinaceidae.
GUUUGUUUUUUUUUUUGUCAACAGCAGUUGAUUUAAUGAGUGUUGAUACCUUGGGUCU